Syngnathus typhle (broad-nosed pipefish) is the source of this 686-nucleotide long non-coding RNA. RefSeq lists it as uncharacterized. Lineage: Eukaryota; Metazoa; Chordata; Actinopteri; Syngnathiformes; Syngnathidae. The record is from RefSeq and is a predicted model, not a curated record. The transcript is spliced from 3 exons.
CCAGGGCGAGAAAGAGGACAAGUUGGAGGAAAGUGGACGCAAAAUUCAUGCUGGUUCUCCAUCUUGUGUGAGAUGUUUGACUUCAACUCUUGGCCUUUGUGCAAACAUCCACCGCGGGGGUCACGGACUGCUCUGAGAAAAUCCACGCAGGCAUGGGGAGAACAUGCAAACUCCACACAGGGAGGGCCGGAGGUGGAAUCAAACCGGCACCUUCUGAACUGUGAGGCAGAUGUUCUAACCAGCGCGCCAGCGUGCCGCCGCAGUGCAAACAGCAGAUGAGAAAUCUAAGAAAACUUGUCGGUCACCAAGGGACGAUGAUGUGAUGUCGCAACUGCCAGCUUCACAAUUCCACUGAUGACAGAAUUGAUGCAAAGUGUCUUCUAAGUGUCAGCAGCCGGUGUGAUGCAAAAAAGAGCAAAGGUCAGAACACAUACGUGCACACACACUACAACUAAGCAUGAAACACUUGCAUGCACAUCUUAAACUGAAAUCCUUGUGGGGAUUUUAUCUGCGAGGCUCAAGUCUACUAAACACAGGAAGGAUGGAUGGAUGGAUGGAUGGAUGGAUGGAUGGAUGGAUGGAUGGAUGGAUGGAUGGAUGGAUGGAUGGAUGGAUGGAUGGAUGGAUGGAUGGAUGGAUGGAUGGAUGGAUGGAUGGAUGGAUGGAUGGAUGGAUGGAUGGAAGGA